AUUGCAAAAUGGGCGAAAGCCCGAUGCAGCAACGCCGCGUGGGCGAUGAAGGCCUUCGGGUCGUAAAGCCCUUUUUGAGGGGAUGAGGAAGGACAGUACCCUCAGAAUAAGCAUCGGCUAACUAAGUGCCAGCAGCCGCGGUAAAACGUAGGAGGCGAGCGUUAUCCGGAUUUACUGGGCGUAAAGCGCGUGCAGGCGGAUGGGAGGGUUGGAUGUGAAAGCUCCCGGCUUAACUGGGAGAGGUCGUUCAAUACUUCCAGUCUUGAGUGCAGUAGAGGGAAGUGGAAUACCGGGUGUAGUGGUGAAAUGCGUAGAUAUCCGGAGGAACACCAGUGGCGAAAGCGGCUUCCUGGACUGUAACUGACGCUCAGACGCGAAAGCUAGGGUAGCAAACG
RNAcentral lists this ribosomal RNA (395 nucleotides) under uncultured bacterium. Its description in RNAcentral is "bacterial SSU rRNA". It matches the Rfam family "Bacterial small subunit ribosomal RNA", at positions 363 to 774 of the family's 1533-position model. The record is from RNAcentral.